RNAcentral lists this ribosomal RNA (386 nucleotides) under uncultured bacterium. Its description in RNAcentral is "bacterial SSU rRNA". It matches the Rfam family "Bacterial small subunit ribosomal RNA", at positions 28 to 417 of the family's 1533-position model. The record is from RNAcentral.
GGCGAACGCUGGCGGCGUGCUUAACACAUGCAAGUCGAGCGGUAAGGCCCUUUCGGGGGUACACGAGCGGCGAACGGGUGAGUAACACGUGGGUGACCUGCCCUCAGCUCUGGGAUAAGCCUGGGAAACCGGGUCUAAUACUGGAUAUGACUCCAUGACGCAUGUUGUGGGGUGGAAAGCCUUGUGCGGCUGAGGAUGGGCCCGCGGCCUAUCAGCUUGUUGGUGGGGUGAGGCCUACCAAGGCGACGACGGGUAGCCGGCCUGAGAGGGCGACCGGCCACACUGGGACUGAGACACGGCCCAGACUCCUACGGGAGGCAGCAGUGGGGAAUUUGCGCAAUGGGCGAAAGCCUGACGCAGCGACGCCGCGUGAGGGAUGACGGCCU